Molecule: long non-coding RNA, 857 nt
Organism: Platichthys flesus (European flounder)
Lineage: Eukaryota; Metazoa; Chordata; Actinopteri; Pleuronectiformes; Pleuronectidae
Exons: 2
Source: RefSeq, a predicted model, not a curated record
UUUUACUCGUCUCCAAGGCUCAGUGUGGGGAAGUGAGCACACACAGCGACCUGCCUGCUUGUGAGCUCUUCCUUGUUUUUCCCCUGGUCUAGCUCAAUGUGGCCUCUCCCUCUCUUCAGGUGAAAAGAGGGGCUGGGCCUGGUGCAGUGACAUCACUUCCUGGUUUGGAAACUCAGGGAAGAGGUGGAAAAAGGUGGUGACAUUAUGCUUUUCAGACAAUCGUUCUUGCAGGUGCCCUGAAGUGCCCAGCUUUCUCAUGUUUCUAGGCACAAAGAGCAGAGGAUAAUCUUCACCACGAGCCGGACACCAUGAGCCCAGGAAUGUGUCGCUUCAUAAACACACCUUUGUCCUACUGUAGACCAUUAUCCAACCGAGCCCCCUGGGGCAGGACGAGGGAAGACGUUCUAACAACAGCAUAACACAUGAUCUCAUCACAUCGCCCUGCUCCACCCUGCUCCCCAGAUUUAAUUAGGAAACUGGAAGGACGAGGUAUAAAGUCAAAGUAUAAAUAGUUUGUCACUGGGAACGCUGUGGAGACAACGCAGGGAUCUUAUUGGAUGGCGUGGCACCUGGCUCCAUGUCAGCCUGCAGGAUUUUGCCACCGCAGCAGGGAUGAGUGUUUGUGCCCCGAGGGCUGCAGCUCUGAGGUGGAAGCUGAAAGACAGUGUGGAGCCCAUCAAGGUGACAGUCCUCCCCUCAUGUAACGUGUAAAUGUAUUCUCUGGGGUAGCGUCACGCCCGCUCUUCAUUAGAAUGACAAAAGGAGCUUUUAUCAGUGUGCUAGUAACAUCGGCUUCUUUAGAUCUGCUUCACUGCUCUGAUUUAAAACAAGAUAAUAAAUCAGGACUGUCCAUUUUC